Acanthochromis polyacanthus (spiny chromis) is the source of this 1204-nucleotide long non-coding RNA. RefSeq lists it as uncharacterized. The record is from RefSeq and is a predicted model, not a curated record. The transcript is spliced from 12 exons. NCBI's taxonomy places the organism in Eukaryota, Metazoa, Chordata, Actinopteri, Pomacentridae.
CUUCUUGUAUGCUAAAUCUAAAUCAAAAAACAUGUAUGUCACCAUGCCACCACUGUAAUGCGCCCCGUGAACCUCAUAUUCAUCAAAUUUAAUAUACAAUUAAAUUUAAUGAAAACGAGGAAGGAAAGGAGUAAGGAGAGGUAGAGAAAGAAGAAGAGAAGGAGUAGGGAGAGGAAGAAGAGAGGAGGUGGAGGAGCGUGAAGGAGUAGGGAGAGGUAGAGAAAGAAGAAGAGAAGGAGUAGGGAGAGGUAGAGGAAGAAGAGGAGGAGAAGGAGUAGGGAGAGGUAGAGGAAGACGAAGAGAAGGAGUAAGGAGAGGAAGAGGAAGAAGAGGAGGAGAAGGAGUAGGGAGAGGUAGAGGAAGACGAAGAGAAGGAGUAAGGAGAGGUAGAGGAAGAAGAGGAGGAGAAGGAGUAGGGAGAGGUAGAGGAAGACGAAGAGAAGGAGUAGGGAGAGGUAGAGGAAGACGAAGAGAAGGAGUAAGGAGAGGUAGAGGAAGAAGAGGAGGAGAAGGAGUAGGGAGAGGAAGAAGAGAGGAGGUGGAGGAGCGUGAAGGAGUAGGGAGAGGAAGAAGAGAGGAGGAGGAAGAGGAGGGAGAGGAAGAAGAGAGGAGUUUGAGGAGUUGGGAGAGGAAGAAGAGAGGAGGAGGAAGAGGAGGGAGAGGAAGAAGAGAGGAGGUGGAGGAGUUGGGAGAGGAAGAAGAGAGGAGGAGUAGGGAGAGGAAGAGGAAGAAGAGGAGGAGAAGGAGCAGGGAGAGGAAGAAGAGAGGUGGUGGAGCGUGAAGGAGGAGGGAGAGGAAGAAGAGAGGAGGUGGAGGAGCGUGAAGGAGUAGGGAGAGGUAGAGAAAGAAGAAGAGAAGGAGUAGGGAGAGGUAGAGGAAGACGAAGAGAAGGAGUAAGGAGAGGUAGAGGAAGAAGAGGAGGAGAAGGAGUAGGGAGAGGUAGAGGAAGACGAAGAGAAGGAGUAGGGAGAGGUAGAGGAAGACGAAGAGAAGGAGUAAGGAGAGGUAGAGGAAGAAGAGGAGGAGAAGGAGUAGGGAGAGGAAGAAGAGAGGGGGAGGAGCGUGAAGGAGUAGGGAGAGGUAGAGGAAGAAGAGGAGGAGAAGGAGUAGGGAGAGGAAGAAGAGAGGAGGUGGAGGAGCGUGAAGGAGUAGGGAGAGGAAGAAGAGAGGAGGAGGAAGAGGAGGGAGAGGAAGAAGAGAGGAG